CUCCCAAGUUGUUUUCCCACCCUUGGAGAGUGCCAGUUAUGAGACCAAGUCCAAAUAGGAACCAGAUAAUAUUGUCCGGUCCAGCCCAGCCAUGGAAAAUCUCAGAGGCCGAGGAUGGAAGCCGUCCAGGAUUAAGCAGUACCGCCGGCCAGCUGUUCCCUGUGAGACUCAGCAGUGAGACAUCUUACUGAAUGAACCACCACGAUAAGGACAAUCUAAAAUGUAUUCCUGGAUGAAUAUUUCGCAUUCUAUCACUAUGCAGUGAAAUGACAUUUCUGUGCAAAAAUGUGGAAGUCUCAAAUUCUAU
Molecule: long non-coding RNA, 307 nt
Filed under: Mustela putorius furo (domestic ferret)
Lineage: Eukaryota; Metazoa; Chordata; Mammalia; Carnivora; Mustelidae
Description: lncRNA (ENSMPUG00000031671.1)
Source: RNAcentral